CAGGACUCGCAAGACUCCUACAACCCUGUGAACCUACUAUACGAACGUUGCUUCGGCGGGUGCGCCCCGGGGAUUCGUUCCCGAGGCGCGUCAGCCCGCCGGCAGCCUACAAAUUCUGUUUCUUUGCGUUGGCAUCUCGAGAAAAAACAAAUAAGUUA
RNAcentral lists this unclassified non-coding RNA (158 nucleotides) under soil metagenome. RNAcentral's name for it is "partial internal transcribed spacer 1". The record is from RNAcentral.